RNAcentral lists this long non-coding RNA (753 nucleotides) under Mus musculus (house mouse). RNAcentral's name for it is "long non-coding RNA chr10:84498873-84499626". Lineage: Eukaryota; Metazoa; Chordata; Mammalia; Rodentia; Muridae. The record is from RNAcentral.
GACAGACUCCCCUACAGAUGUUAGUUCCCUCUCCAAAUUUGCUGUCAAGAUCCUAACCCCCAAGGUGACAGCAUUAGGAGGCAGACUCUUGGGGAGGCCAUUAAGUGCAGUGAAAUGCUGUGACCUUACAGAGGAAGUCCAUCUCCUAUCCACCACGUGAAGUCACAGCAGGAAGCUUCCUUCUACGGACCAUGACCAGACACUAAAUCUGUCAACACUUUAUCUUGGGUUUCUCAGCCUCCAGACUUGAGAAAUAAAUUUCUGCCAUGUGCAUGCAUCCUGGGAUAUGCUGUUCUGUUCCAGAAGCUCAUGUGGGCUAAGGCAAUGCCCAAGGCUACCAUGCCUGAGAAACAGACCUGGGACAAGGGUUUGGAAGGAAGUCACUUAUUUGCUUGUUGAUCCCAGGAACACUGAAAAGGGAGUUCAAGAAAACCAAACAAGGGAAGAAGGCACCCUGGGAAGGUUCUCAACCGUCUGCCUCUCAGUGGACAGGGGACUCCAUCUCACCAGGGACAACAGAGAAUAUGCCCCUGAGUUCCCCAGCUCCAGCAAUGCAAAGAGGCUUCUGCAAUUAUCCUCAGCUAUUGGUUGAUACUGUCCCUGGGUACUGACACCCAACAGUCAACCUGCAGUGUCUCUCUCCAUGAUUCAAGUCUUAGGAUGACUCCGAAUAGACUAAAGGUGAGGAGCUGACAAUACUUGCUGCAAACAGAAUGAGGUGUCUGUGAUCCUGAAUAAAUGUAAACAUGUAUC